Tachysurus fulvidraco (yellow catfish) is the source of this 179-nucleotide long non-coding RNA. RefSeq lists it as uncharacterized. The record is from RefSeq and is a predicted model, not a curated record. Lineage: Eukaryota; Metazoa; Chordata; Actinopteri; Siluriformes; Bagridae. The transcript is spliced from 2 exons.
GGAAAAUAUGAUAAAUCCAUGAAACGUUGCCUCUUGGCUCUGCUCUCGGUCCCCAGAUCUUCAGAUUUCCUCAAAAGGAAAGAGUUUACAACUUCCUUUCUCUUAAACAAACACACACACACACACACACACACACACACACUCACACACACACACACACACACACACACACACACACA